Nematostella vectensis (starlet sea anemone) is the source of this 536-nucleotide long non-coding RNA. RefSeq lists it as uncharacterized. The record is from RefSeq and is a predicted model, not a curated record. The transcript has 2 exons. Lineage: Eukaryota; Metazoa; Cnidaria; Anthozoa; Actiniaria; Edwardsiidae.
GCACUUGCCCUGUGUUUACGAUUAAAAGCUCCUUCUUCGAUUUAUACCGCGAAUACGAUGGCGAUAUCAAAGGAUUAUUUGCAAUGUCCAGUCCAGAACUACUAUGAUUGCAAAUCAUUUCCCAAGAAAUAAAACAAAAUGGAUUGCUACAUUAUUUCAAAUCAAGGCAAACACAGCCACGGAGGAGAAAUCCAGUGAAUACAUGAGCAGUAAUCUUUUCAGUAGCUAUUAUCAUGGCCACCACUUAGACCCAAAUUUAUGUACAGGCAUGCAGCCCAGGGUGGGCACACGGGUUGUGUCCCUCCCACUCAACUACCAAAAAGCAGUCUUUUUAAAAUAUACUUACUCUCCAUAAUAUUUAUGACUGCACAUCCCCUCCACAGCUAAUCAGAUUGUUUGUUAUGGUUAUCAGACUUCACCUUCCCUUUUCUAGACAUACAAUGCCUUCAAUUAAAUAAUUUCUUUUGUUUAAUGAAAUAAGACUACAAGCAAUUUGUUUUUGUUCUACCUCUCUUAUUAAACAAACAGAGAAACCA